Molecule: ribosomal RNA, 251 nt
Filed under: uncultured prokaryote
Description: partial 16S rRNA
Rfam family: Bacterial small subunit ribosomal RNA
Source: RNAcentral
ACGGAGGGUGCGAGCGUUAAUCGGAAUUACUGGGCGUAAAGCGCACGCAGGCGGUUUGUUAAGACAGGUGUGAAAUCCCCGGGCUCAACCUGGGAACUGCACCUGAUACUGGCAAGCUUGAGUCCCGUAGAGGGGGGUAGAAUUCCAGGUGUAGCGGUGAAAUGCGUAGAGAUGUGGAGGAACACCGGUGGCGAAGGCAGCCCCCUGGACGAAUACUGACGCUCAUGUGCGAAAGCGUGGGUAGCAAACAG